AGCGUCGCUCGGAGCUCGCGGCCGGAUGGGGAAGGCGGCGGCGGCGGUGGCCUUUGGGGCCGAAGUGGGCGUGCGGCUCGCGCUGUUCGCGGCCUUCCUGGUGACGGAGCUGCUCCCCCCGUUCCAGAGACUCAUCCAGCCGGAGGAGAUGUGGCUCUACCGGAACCCCUACGUGGAGGCGGAGUAUUUCCCCACCAAGCCGAUGUUUGUUAUUGCAUUUCUCUCUCCACUGUCUCUGAUCUUCCUGGCCAAAUUUCUCAAGAAGGCAGACACAAGAGACAGCAGACAAGCCUGCCUGGCUGCCAGCCUUGCCCUGGCUCUGAAUGGCGUCUUUACCAACACAAUAAAACUGAUCGUAGGGAGUCCUCCAGGUGACACCUGGGCUCUUUUCUGCCUGAACAGCAUUUCCCACCAACGGCCACAGCAGUCGGUCAGUGUCCUCUUGAGCACCUCCUGAAGCUGCAGUGUCAUUUGCUGUUUGCCCUAAAAAGCCACGCCCAGAUUUCUUCUACCGCUGCUUCCCUGAUGGGCUAGCCCAUUCUGACUUGAUGUGUACAGGGGAUAAGGACGUGGUGAAUGAGGGCCGAAAGAGCUUCCCCAGUGGACAUUCUUCCUUUGCAUUUGCUGGUCUGGCCUUUGCGUCCUUCUACCUGGCAGGGAAGUUACACUGCUUCACACCACAAGGCCGUGGGAAAUCUUGGAGGUUCUGUGCCUUUCUGUCACCUCUACUUUUUGCAGCUGUGAUUGCACUGUCCCGCACAUGUGACUACAAGCAUCACUGGCAAGAUGUACUAGUUGGAUCCAUGAUUGGAAUGACAUUUGCCUAUGUCUGCUAUCGGCAGUAUUAUCCUCCUCUGACUGAUGCAGAAUGCCAUAAACCAUUUCAAGACAAACUUGUACUUUCCACUGCACAGAAGCCUGGGGAUUCUUAUUGUUUUGAUAUUUAAAAAUUGAAUCUGGCCGGGCGUGGUGGCUCAUGCCUGUAAUCCCAACACUUUGGGAGGCUGAGGAGGGUGGAUCACCUGAGGUCAGGACCAGCCUGGCCAACAUGGUGAACCCUGUCUCUACUAAAAAUACAAAAAUUAGCCAGGAGUUGUGUGCCGUAAUCCCAGCUACCUGGGAGGCUGAGGUAGGAGAAUUGCUUGAACCUGGGAGCUGGAGGUUCCAGUGAGCCGAGAUCGCACCACUGCACUCCAGCCUAGGCAACAGAGUGAGACCCCAUCUCAAAAAAAAAAAAAAUUGAAUCUAUCUCAAUAGAGAACAGGUGAACUAGCCCUCCUAACCGGACCAUGCACAAGACAAGAAAUUCUAGCCUUUUUUUCCCCUUCCAAGGUGCAAGUGAGGACAUAAGCCACACUGUAUUCUGCCUCCAAAUGAUUACACACUUUUGCCCCUGCUCAUCUAUCUUGAGGAGUUACGGUUCUUUUCCACUACUGUAUGCCACAUGUUCUAGUAAAAGGAUCUUUCAAAGGUGUCCAACACCUUAUGAAUCUGGUCUAUCAGAUUAAUAUCUGAAGAUCUACAGUGUUUUUACAUUUAAUUUAAAUGCCAUUCUUAGAAGGAUCUUGUCACAAAGAAGCCUUUACAUAGCCCCACCUUGUCUCAGAAGCUAGAGUUCAUUAUCAAAACUUAAUUUCCAUUUCAUAUAGCUCAAAAUCUUAAAAUCUAGGGCAUGGCCAACUAAAUUACUUUGAUUCUGUUUACCUUCUCUGAUGACAAUUCCAUCAAGCCUUAAAUAGGAAAAUGUCGAAUCUAGGGUAAUUUAUCACUUUUGUGUGCAUCUUAUCUGAGUCCAGCCAUCUGGUACUGCUGUGCAUUUUGAACACCGUGGGCAUAAACAAUUUGUUGAAUUACUAAGUGAAAACAAUAAUAAAGAAGAAAAUGGUCAGGAGUGUGGUUUCAGCACUACUAACAGAUGACUGUUUCUACCUCAUUUGACCAUAACUGUACUUGUGAGCUUCUUUCCUUCCAUUCAUGACUGAAGAUCUGCUCAAAUGCACCAACACUGCCAAGUGACUAAGGUAGAAAAGAAAAAUGACAGGUAUCGUCAUCUGAAGGACAGAUGAAUCUUUUUCUGCCCCUUCUUCACAAUGGAAUAUAAGGAACAAUUAUGGGAUGUCAUCAGAAUGGAUGCCAUAGGACCUACAGCUCCCUUUCUCUUUAUUGUGAUUAUACUUUAAAUAUGACAUUGUCUUUUAUGUGUAUGUUCCUAUAUUUUCAAUGUAUCUUUUUCCUUCAGUAAACCUGAUAUUCAAAUAAAA
Molecule: RNA transcript, 2261 nt
Organism: Homo sapiens (human)
Lineage: Eukaryota; Metazoa; Chordata; Mammalia; Primates; Hominidae
Gene: PLPP5
Gene name: phospholipid phosphatase 5
Exons: 8
Source: RefSeq, marked validated